GGACAGCCUGCCAUUGUGCAAAGUCACCAUGUAACAAAUGCAGACAUCUCUGAGAUCACCAUGCAGUGAGGAAGUCUAAGCUGGUGGCAUGAAGAGGCCACAUGGAAAGGGCUAAAAAAGGGGCCAGCCUCAGUCAUCCCAGCUGAGCACCUGGCUGGGAAUAAAAGAGGACUCCGUGGAUGUCCAGCCCAGUAAGAUGACCUCAGCCCCAGCCACCAACUGACCAAGCACACAAGACAUCGUGAGGCUGCCUGCUGGAGCCUGGCCAGUGGGACUGUAGAGUAACUCAUUGUCGUGCAGGAACUCCUGGGAUGGUGUUGCCCAGUGACACAAUCCCAGUGUGGCCAUUUCUGAUCCCGAGAAAGCAGUCAGGAGUGGGUGGAUGCAGUUACAGUUCAUCAAGUCCUGCUAGUUCAAGUCAUGAGUCCUGAAUUCUCCAGGAGGAGCCACUAAAGAAAUGCAGAAGCAGGCAAUCCUUGCAAUAAGGCCAGCAAACUGCCAGUGUGAAGGAUGCCCAGG
RNAcentral lists this long non-coding RNA (519 nucleotides) under Homo sapiens (human). Its description in RNAcentral is "non-protein coding ID2-AS1:12". Lineage: Eukaryota; Metazoa; Chordata; Mammalia; Primates; Hominidae. The record is from RNAcentral.